This is an RNA transcript of Stegastes partitus (bicolor damselfish), 3212 nucleotides long. It is a transcript of the gene named calcium binding protein 39, with no coding region annotated. The transcript has 10 exons. Lineage: Eukaryota; Metazoa; Chordata; Actinopteri; Pomacentridae. The record is from RefSeq and is a predicted model, not a curated record.
GGAGGAAACAGGGGCCGCACAAUUAACAACAGUACAAACAAGGGGAGGCGACGAGCGAGGAAAACAAAGCAGGUUUUGUUCCAAGGAGCACCUGAGUUGCCUUUUACUGUCUUGACUUAUCGGGAGAAACCAGUGAACACGCCGCUUGGAAGGUGGACAGUCCGCUGCCUGGUUGCUCGUGGUAACUCUCCGCCAUGCCUUUCCCCUUUGGCAAGUCCCACAAGUCGCCGGCGGACAUCGUCAAGAACCUUAAGGACAGCAUGACGGUGCUUGAGAAGCAUGACAUCUCUGAUAAAAAGGCAGAGAAGGCCACAGAGGAAGUGUCAAAGAGCCUGGUGGCCAUGAAGGAGAUCCUGUAUGGGACAAAUGAAAAAGAGCCCCAGACGGAGGCAGUGGCCCAGCUCGCCCAGGAGCUCUAUAACAGCGGCUUACUGAGCACCCUGAUAGCAGACCUGCAGCUCAUCGACUUCGAGGGUAAAAAAGAUGUGGCUCAGAUCUUCAACAACAUCCUGAGGCGUCAGAUCGGCACUCGGACACCCACAGUAGAGUACCUUUGCACUCAGCAGAAUAUCCUCUUCAUGUUGCUUAAAGGGUAUGAGUCUCCAGAGAUUGCCCUAAACUGCGGUAUCAUGCUGAGGGAGUGCAUCAGACACGAACCACUGGCCAAGAUCACGCUGUGGUCAGAACAGUUCUACGACUUCUUCAGAUACGUGGAGAUGUCCACAUUCGACAUCGCCUCAGACGCAUUUGCCACUUUCAAAGACCUCCUCACAAGACACAAGCUACUGAGUGCAGAGUUUCUGGAGCAACAUUACGACAGGUUCUUUAGCGAAUAUGAGAAGUUACUCCACUCAGAAAACUACGUGACUAAAAGACAGUCCCUGAAGUUAUUGGGGGAGUUGCUUCUCGACCGGCACAAUUUCACCAUAAUGACGAAAUACAUCAGCAAGCCGGAGAAUCUCAAGUUAAUGAUGAAUCUGCUACGGGACAAGAGCCGCAACAUCCAGUUUGAGGCGUUCCACGUUUUUAAGGUGUUUGUGGCCAACCCCAACAAGACGCAGCCCAUCCUGGACAUCCUGCUGAAGAACCAGACCAAACUCAUCGAGUUUCUCAGCAAGUUCCAGAAUGACAGAACAGAGGACGAACAGUUCAACGACGAAAAGACUUACCUGGUCAAACAGAUCAGAGACCUCAAGAGGCCUGCACCCCAGGAGGCCUGAAAGCGGGUGCAGAGGUGCAGGGAGGAGCCCCCAGGACCAUAUCUGGACAACAUCCAGACAACGUCUGCUUAACGGACCCAUCAGCAGCUGCUGUUCUGGUUUCUGAACAAAAAUGAGGAAACAAAUGAAAAACAAACAAGCCCAUUUCAGCUCAUCAGGAAGUCGCCAGCUCCUCUGCUCCUCAGAACAUUUGAUAUUUUUUUUCUUUUUCAAUCUUUUUCCUUCAAAAGAAAUAAGAGAAAAUAAUAGUUGCUGCUGCUUUCUUGCACAUUGAGACGUUUAAGGUAUAUUAUAUUGACACAACAGUCCAUCACACACAGAGACAGAACGUGUCCGUGCAUUAAAAGUAAGGCAGACUUCCUGAUAGACACUCUCACACACACACACACACACACCAAGCAGUUGACACGUUUACACACACAUGUAUUACAUGAAAAAACAAAAGAACAUGCAUACACACAUGCUGCAAGAAUGUCAGCUAAAACCAUGUGAUGGAAACGGUACGAGCAAGUUGAACAUUGGUGUGUUCGUUGCAUGCCUUGAAAUGUGACAGAUCCACGGCUGUACCCGGCGCCGGCUCCGUGAAGGCGUGCCCGGUUUGGCGCCCGCGUUCAGCGCCGCCGACUCGCGUGCAUCACAGCAACCGCUACAGUUCGCAUCUAUGCCUUCAUCCAGCAAAGCAAACAGUGGUUCAUUUCAGCGGGGACGAGCUCUCAGAUGCCAUCACACAGAACCAUUUACCUCCUGUGUGCUUUGUUACGACUCAGCACUUGAAGCACAUGAAGAGAGGAGGGAGGGAUGGAAGGUAUGAGUUUGGUAAAGCCUGAGGAUUGGGUGUUUUUAUUAUUUUCUGGGACAGGGUGAACAUGUACAUAUGCCUUUUUUUUUUUUUUUUUUUGCUUUGUAGAUUUUUGUUUAACCUUGACAUAUGAAUAUAUAUUAUAUAUAUAUAUAUAUAUAUAUUACCUUAAACAUCACGUUUUUGGUUAAUUGUAAUCAAAUUACUUUCUAAACCAUGAAAAACAACAAGUUAAGUGACAUUGUUUUUGCAUUUCAUUUUACUGCUGAAAUGGUUGCUGGUGGGUUUCUUUGUACAUAACUUAAAGGGCCAGCUCACAUUUAGCUAACCGAUAGGAUAUUAACAAUUUGUACAGCGGAGGAAUGUCAUGGUAUUAGCUCUGGAUCUGUUAAUCCUCUUUUUAUUCUCCAUCUACAUUUUGAGUAUCUCAGACUGCUGAAAAUGUGCAGGGGGGGUGUGAGCGGUGCCGAAAGGGAGGGAAGGGAAUGGGCAGAGCGUUCACUGAAACAUUGAAGCCUGUGUGUUUGUGCACUUUGCGAGAUGCUGGGCAGUCGGCAUCGCCUAACUGGAGUCGAGGGCGCUAAGGAUUUCCCCGAUCCUCCGUUGGCUUGUUUUUGCCCCCCAUCCUGGGAGUGCUGUGUGGCCCCACAGUAAGCGUGCUUCGGGGGUGAUCUCAUUACAACAGCUCGGCACAUCUUUCUAUCAUUCUUACUUCCAUUCUUGUCCUUUUUUUUUUUUUUUAGCCUUUCUCUUCAGGGGGUUUUAUAAUUCCAGUACAAUGAUGAGUGUAAAGCAUUGUGGGUAGCAGGGUACUUUGGGCAUGCUGGUUUGUCCUCAUGGUGUUGCGCAAAACUGAUAAAACCACAGAUUUUCCCUUAUUUUGCAGUGAUGCAUUCAGGCAGGUAAAGAAGAAUCCAUUCGAGUGCAGACAACAGCCCACAGCUCCUCCAUGCGCGUUGAACAAGCAUGUCGCUCCACUGGCUGUGCAUGAUGCUGCGCCAAAGAUGUUGUACUGGAAUUGUUUCUUUUUUCAAAGUAUUUAACAACAUUGAAAUGUCAAGUUGAACUCUUGGUGAUACGGCUGCACGCUGACUCCAGUUUCAGCAUAGAGCGUGUGGGUGCUUUCAGAAGUGUCAAAGGCCUGGGCCCUACAAUCGAAAUAAAGAAGAAAAAAACAUUUGGAAUAAAAAAAA